Molecule: non-coding RNA, 467 nt
Organism: Rattus norvegicus (Norway rat)
Lineage: Eukaryota; Metazoa; Chordata; Mammalia; Rodentia; Muridae
Source: RefSeq, a predicted model, not a curated record
UGGCAGUCCAGGUGGUGGGAGAAGCCUAAGCAAAACUCUGGGGAGAUAAAGAAGCCCCAAGGACACUGAGGUGUGGGAGCUCAAGCUGCUGCCUCCUCUUCUUUCAGCAAUCCUGGAGUUCUGGAAACUUCCCAUUGCUGAACGUGGUCCUUGGGACCCGUGUCUUCAACAUUGCUCCAGUGGGUGCUCAGUGACACUUUGUUGGCAACAGCCACGAUUUGCGCACCCGACCCUGCUGUACAGAGCGCCUCCAUGUCUGACUAAUCCCCGAGACAUCUCAAGAGGAACAUGCUGUCACUGCUGUUUACAGACGAAGGGGCUUACGGAAGUAGCAGGCCAAAGACGCUGUGCCAGAGGUGUCACUUUCCUGAGGACCUGAGCAAGGUUUGAAGCCAGGAUGUCAGACUCUGAAACCUUGAAACAAUUGGCAGAGACAAAGCAAGGUGGAGCUGAGAUCUUUGAGGAGG